UGGGGAAUAUUGCACAAUGGGCGCAAGCCUGAUGCAGCCAUGCCGCGAGUAUGAAGAAGGCCUUCGGUUUGUAAAGUACUUUCAGCGGGGAGGAAGGGAGUAAAGUUAAUACCUUUGCUCAUUGACGUUACCCGCAGAAGAAGCACCGGCUAACUCCGUGCCAGCAGCCGCGGUAAUACGGAGGGUGCAAGCGUUAAUCGGAAUUACUGGGCGUAAAGCGCACGCAGGCGGUUUGUUAAGUCAGAUGUGAAAUCCCCGGGCUCAACCUGGGAACUGCAUCUGAUACUGGCAAGCUUGAGUCUCGUAGAGGGGGGUAGAAUUCCAGGUGUAGCGGUGAAAUGCGUAGAGAUCUGGAGGAAUACCGGUGGCGAAGGCGGCCCCCUGGACGAAGACUGACGCUCAGGUGCGAAAGCGUGGGGAGCAAACAGG
This 429-nucleotide ribosomal RNA is filed under the name Chloroflexota bacterium. Its description in RNAcentral is "Chloroflexi bacterium partial 16S ribosomal RNA". It matches the Rfam family "Bacterial small subunit ribosomal RNA", at positions 355 to 776 of the family's 1533-position model. Lineage: Bacteria; Bacillati; Chloroflexota. The record is from RNAcentral.